This is a long non-coding RNA of Oreochromis aureus, 5345 nucleotides long. RefSeq lists it as uncharacterized. The record is from RefSeq and is a predicted model, not a curated record. Lineage: Eukaryota; Metazoa; Chordata; Actinopteri; Cichliformes; Cichlidae. The transcript has 3 exons.
UAUUCUGUAAGGUAAAAUAACAUCACUGGUUCAUAAGUAAGAGUGAGCCGGUGCUGAGCAGAGGAGACAUUUCUGUGGAUCCUCGAGCCUCCCCCUCCCUCUCCCUCUCUCUGCUGCAUCCAGCCGUCAGUGCGCCUGGCAGAAAACAUCCUCUGCUCUGUCAAUUAGGGGGAAGAUUUAGUCGGAUGCACCGCGAGGAAUAUUUAAACCGACACACCGGGAUGUGCAGGAUGUCAGCUGUCCCCUGGCUUUUAACGUUGGCUCUGCAGCACGUUUGGCUGUCACCACGGCGACUGUCGGGGUAGACAGACAGCCCGACUUGACUAAAUGGUUACAUGUGCCACCUGCUCUGACGAGCCGGCAGAUGGAAUAUCUGAUUUUUCACGGGCGAGGUGCCUCGCUGGCGUCGUGUUUCGCUGAGCAGUCGGACAUAUGACAAAGUGACGGGUACACGAAGUGACACCAGAGGUGAAAGAUGGCUUUGCUGGCUGUUAGCUUUCUUGCUAACUGAAUGACAGGUGGAUGGAUGGAUGCGGCGUAUCAGUCAAAUUCUGCAAAUCAAAUUUUAAGCUUAUAAGAAUUCAACAAGGAAAGUUUAACUUUCCUGACAGAGCAAAUGCACAAUAAGGCUGAGCAGCAGACGUGAUAUUAACAUGGAUUUGUUUCCCCCAAAUACUGACACAACUUUCCAAAGAGCAGGACUGCAGCUGAAAGGUGAACGGUGACGACUACAGGCAAGCAUGAUGUUGGAAUAGAUAUGGAGACGGUACACAAACACAGAUGGUUUCUGAACUCCAUGCAUCAGUGUUGGCAUUGUAGCUGCGGCCAUGUAGAGUUUGGAGGCAGGAGUCACCGUGAUUGGACAGGGUGGUGCUAACCAGCUAGCUCUGCUAGCAAGCUUCAUCCAUAUAGGUGUGUAUGGCUCACAGGUGAUGGACUGUUGGUGUAGUUAUUCACACAGGAUGCCAUAUUAUUUAUCAGAAAUGUAAAACAUGGUCUUUCUCAGGGACUCCAUUUAGCUGAGGUGAAACCGGUCAGACAGCUUGCAGCUACAACUGCCCGUGUUGCCAUCCACCUGUCAGUCAAAGAAGCCACGCCCCUAAUAAUCCAAACUUUAAAACUGCAAAUGAGUGAGUAACAAAAAGCAGAGCUGCAGUUAGGAGGCUCGACCGGGCAUUAGGGGAACGUUGGGGUUUCAUUUUCCAGCCCAGAGGCUGCUGCUUGUUCGCUCAUGAACUCAGAAGUGUUUUAAACUGCAGUGGGUUUGCCUCGGGGUGGGUGCACGCUCAGUCACUGAAUCAGAGGCGACAGGGAAGCUGGUCACUCUUGUUUGAGGAUUUGUCGUUUUGUAUCUUAAGAGUCACUUGAACUUCGAAACACCUGGUUCUUUGGUGAUUCUGCCUCGUUUCAGCGUCACGGCCUCUCCGCCCUCACACUGACAAACCGACCCUCGGCCGGUGUCGAUGCCAGAACCCUGACCUGCAUCGCCGCGGCUCGCUCUAAGCCUUGUAGCACCUGGAUGUUCUCCUAAAUCCCAUUCUUCAGACGGAUUACAGCUUCCAAUCCGAGCAAACCUCCUCCAGCCCACCAAAUCCUCAAAGGAGACAGUCACCGCACGCCCAUGUAACGGCGCCUCAUACUGCUACACCCCUGCUGGAGCUGCACAACACCGCCAGGGGAACAAAAAGCAGCCAGAUUUUGCUGAAUACUGUGAUUCUGACAAACGGAGACGCCUGCGGCUGUGUCUGCAGUAUUUGUCUCUAAGCCGUGAUAAAAGGCCUCAAAGAUGAGCUGCAGUUUUGUUAUGUAGAAAAGAAUAAGAAAUUAUAGCUGACGGCCAAUUUAAUUUGCACACAACUGCUUUAUGAAGCAAGAAGGAUGCUUUCCACCCAGGAAACAAAGUGAGAUCCUUUGUUAUUCUGAAGAUAGCAGACAUUAAUUUGGGCUUUUUCAUAUCUAUAUACAGCCGUGCCAAGCUAGGGCAUGAAUGUGAUGCACCGAAGCUUUUGUGUUCAAGGGUCGUCGACCUGUGAGCGUUGGUCUGAUGGUGGGAAACAUUGAAAAGCAUUCACAGGUCGGAAAUCUGACGUUCUCACAUCGUGGAUCCUCUUAAUGAGAACAAAUCACUGAGUAAAUGACAGUGGGGUUAAUAUUUUCAGUGCUCCACAUGGAUUUAACAUUAGUGCGAUUCACUAAACGGCUGUGGUUCCUGGUUUUCAUGGCGCCAUGUAAAACUUCCUGCAGGACCAGGCUCAGGGAGGGGCGGGCCCAUCUGCUGAGACCGGUUGGGGUUAGGGGAGGAAGUGAGUGAAGAAGAAACACCGAGUGCAUUCUGUGUGUCUGUGGAGAAGGAGUGGGCGUCUCCUUGAGGUGAUCAGGCGAGCAGCUUCCAUCACAGCCGUCUGCUUAAAUCACGCCCUCCACGCCUCAUCGUCAGCAUCAUCAUCCUCAACUCUCACCCCCGCACAAGCGUGACUCAUAAUCCUCCGUCAGCCCUCAUCUUCCACCGUCGGCUGGAGAACUGAAACAAAUCUGCCUCUAAUGUGUUUCAGCUCUUAACAUGUGUCUCUGCUCUCAUUAGCGCUCCAUGAAACAAUCUGUAGCUGUGAGUUUGAGUUAAAUGGUUUUGUUUUGGAGAAGUUUAGCUGCUAGUUUAGAUCACAGGGCUUGUAGCUGCACUGUGGCUGUUAAUGUUUCAGGCUGAUGAGUAAUUACAGAGUAAUGACUGUAUGGUUGCAGAGGGAUUACCGGUAUCAUGUUAUUCUUGUCUUAUGUCUUUUUGAAGCAGUAAUAAUGGUGAAAACACAUCAUCAGCUGCAUAGACACAUCACUAUCAGAACAAUCCUUUCUACAACACCGGAGCAGCUCAUCAUUAGCCCUGGCAAUGAAGACAGAAGAUGUGACCAUAUUUAGAGAAGAGGUUUAUAAUAACCUCACAGGAGCCGUAUUAUUGGUCACACCUGAAACAGCACAAACAUGGUCCACAGGUCCAGUUCAGGGACUCCAGUCGGCUGAGGUAAAGCCAAGCUGACAGCUAGAAGCUACAGCCGUCCACCUGUUGGUCAAAUUCAAUCCAGUUUCAUUCAUACAGCGCCAAAUCACAACAGCAGUUACCUUCAGGUGUUUUAUAUUGUAAGGUAGAGACCCUACAAUAAUGCAGAGAAACCCCAACAAUUAGAAAAACCCCUACAGGCAGGCACUUUGGUGACAGUGGGAAGGAAAAACUCCAUUUUAGCAGGAAGCAACCUUCUGCAAGACCAGGCUCAGGGAGGGGGCGGGGCCAUCUACUGCAAACAGUUGGGGUGAGGGGAGGAAGUGAGUGAAGAAGAAACACCCAGUGCAUCAUGGGAAUCCCCCAGCAGCCUACAUCUAUUGCAGCAUAGCUAAGGGAGGAUUCAGGGUCACCUGACUGUAUGUUUCAUAAAAAAGGAAUGUUUUAAGCCUAAUCUGUAAAAGUCUGUACUUGUAAAUAACAGGAACCAGAAGUAAACCAUCAGUCUGAGAGGUCAUUAAGAUCUUGUAUAUCAUGAGAAGGAUUUUUAGAGAAGCCAGUGUGGGAGAAAUACGGCCACAGCAGUCACAUCCGUCACUCUGAGCCUCAGAAGUCUGCAGAUGUAAAAGCUUGAGCAGGAUCUAUAUUAGAGCAAAAUAAGAGGCUGUUGCUUCUAACACUCAAACACACUUCAGAGAGCUCAGUCUUUGUGUUUCUGCUCAUGUUCCUAUCAUGCAGCAGCCACAAUAACAGACACACGUCUGUUUUUCUUCUCUUCUCGACCGCCUUUGCAAUUUUCAGAGUAUUCACUCGUGAUCACCACAAAGCUUUUGACCACACACAAAGAUGGCGAGGGAGUCGUCUCCGUCUCAUUCUGCAGCUUUGUCUCGCUUCUUUCAGCGUCGUCUGUUCCACAUGAAAAGCCCCAAACUGUGGGAGUCAUCCCGUGCCUGCUCUUUACUCUGCCUUUCUGUUUUAUUCCCAUCUGCCUAUCGCCAGCAUGAAUGCAGCUUGUCCUGUCUUAAACGAGAGGCUGCAGCUGCAUCCAUCCUCGUCUUACUCCUGAAAACACAUCGACAGACUCGACCUGUGCCUCUGCGGAGUGCCUCCCUUCAUUAAUCUCUAUAUCUAUUUAUUACUGAAGCUAUUCACGCUCCUCCUGCAGAUAUACAUACUGUACAUCCAUCAGCGCGCCCCCUCCCACCGCUCCUGCUGACUGAGCUCUCAUAUAAAGACUCCAGCAGGUAGUUGCGUAGUAACAGGGCGAAGCACUGUGGAUAGUCUGAGUGAGUGGACUGAGCACCUCCACCCUCACGGCCUCAUCUCUGCCUCAUCUCUGCCUCUUAGAGGAGAGCAGAGCUCGGCGACAACACGUGGAGCACGGCCUCCUCUAUGGCGGUCGAUAAGAUUCAGCUAAAACCAGACAGAACAGACGUGUGUGUUCAUCAAAUGGACACAAUUAAUCACAAAUAUAAAGAUUUGUGUCAAAGGAACACCGAUUCAUGGCUUCUGUGUGUGCGGACUAAUUUGGGUGUAGUUACCCAUGAAAGGCUCCAUCAGUGCUGUCACCGUUAAAAAACACACGGACAAGGACUGACAGGAGCAGAUGCUUCAGCGACAUGUUAGCAUCCUGGCAGGUGUGCAUCAGCUGUCCACAUAUAAGCAAAGAACAAACACCACCCAGGCUUCAUUACUACAAAGGAAAGUUGUUAAUGAACUGCAGUUCCUUUUGAGGCUGCCUCCACUCCCACAUACUCCUGCGUAAAAAUGCUCAGCUGCACAGCUGAAAUAAGCUUGUAUAUCUGCUAUGAAAUGAAAGCUGUGGGUCCUUUGAGCUGUGCCAGAGUGAAGCUGGCAGAACUUGGAGUAAUUUACAUGUUAGAAAACCACACAGGGAACCAGAGAGCAUCUGCCAAUCUUUAGCUCCUCCCACGGCUGCUGAUGUCAUAGAUCCAGCAUGAUGAGAACUGUGUGCCACAAAGGUUGGUGUGAUAUGGGAGUGACUCGUGGGGUCUGCUUUGUGGGUCAGCUCAUGAGUUUGUCAGGUAACUCUGUUGUCUUUUUUACAGGCUGUCAGGAACAUACUGCUCACCUGCUGUGCAGUAUGUCCCACCCCCACAGGUCUACUGAGACACGAUGUGGAUCUCCUCACCUGUCAGCAACCAUCACCUGUUUCACUUUAAGACCCCAGGGAAACUUUUUGUGUGUCGGUUUCUGAUAAUCAGAUUGAUUCAGCGUUCAGGGAACUUUGGGUUUUCCGACUACUUUCAGCAGUUUAACAGCCUGUUGCACAGAUGCGCUUGGUGGCGCUGUCACUUGGUGUUCGCUCGCUCUGUGGUAUAGUAUCACUUCC